UCCUUGCUCUUUUGGUUGAUUUCGUGUCU
Molecule: non-coding RNA, 29 nt
Filed under: Rattus norvegicus (Norway rat)
Lineage: Eukaryota; Metazoa; Chordata; Mammalia; Rodentia; Muridae
Source: RNAcentral